RNAcentral lists this unclassified non-coding RNA (941 nucleotides) under Hevea brasiliensis (rubber tree). The record is from RNAcentral. Lineage: Eukaryota; Viridiplantae; Streptophyta; Magnoliopsida; Malpighiales; Euphorbiaceae.
AUGUUCUCUGGAAGAAGAUGAUGAUGAAAAAAGGGAAGAGAAGGGGGAGCAAAAAUUGCUUUAAUUACUUCGNGUCCAGUAAUGGGGGAAAAGAUACAAAUAUAUGGCUUCCUUUCUCCUACCCUGAAUGUAUGCAUAAUUACAAAGAGAACUUGGCGAGUUCUUGGGCAAAAAGUGCCAUCUUAGAGGCAUUCUGAAAAUUCUCCCCUACAUCUUCUCUUGGUCUUAGCUUUCUUUCAGCAAAGGACUUGGAUCUUUUCCCCCAUUACUGGACAUAAUGUCGGCGGACUCGUCAUUUGGUUUCCCCUUAAUUUUGUCACGCCAUCCAAGGCCAAAUUUUAAUAGACCCAUCCUUCUUCCGGGGCUUUCUGCUGUGGAGCUUUGACUGUGCCCUAAUCGUGGAGAAGACAGUGCUUUAGCUUGCCCAGAUUCAUAAUUUAUGGUAGCCUCCAACAUUGAUUCUGCCAUAACCACCCUUUGUUCCAUCUGAGAAAGUGAAGCCAUAGCCUUCUCAUAUUUUUCCUGAAGUAUAGUUGCUGCAUAUCUUUGAGCAGUUGCAUCUUGCUCAGCACUUACACGAGCUUCUUCAGUUAUCCUCUGUUCUUGCUCUACCCGCAUCAGAACCUGAAGCAUUGCAGCUUCCUGUUCUUUCUUAUCAGAAAGGGCUUGCCGCAGAUCAGCCACCUCUUGCUCCAAUAGCUCAAUCUUUGCACUCAAUUGCCGUCGAUUAUCUUCUUUUACCAUUUCCAUCAAUGCUGUCUCCAGUUCCUCAGAUCUGAGUAUGGAAGAUCUUUUCUCCUCCAGCAACCUGCACAAUUCAACCUUCAGCCAAACCACCUGUUCUUGAAGAUCAGGUAGUGAAUCUGCUUCAGUUACAACAUUUAGAUCACCAAGCAAAGCAUCCAGAUUAGAGGAGGGAUGCUCCAAGUUAGACUUGCCUC